This is a long non-coding RNA of Gavia stellata (red-throated loon), 1998 nucleotides long. RefSeq lists it as uncharacterized. Lineage: Eukaryota; Metazoa; Chordata; Aves; Gaviiformes; Gaviidae. The record is from RefSeq and is a predicted model, not a curated record. The transcript has 3 exons.
UUUUUUUUCUUCCCUUUUUCCCUCCCUUUCCUCCCUCCCUCUCCCCGCCGCCGGGACUGGAGCCGCCUCAGCAUAACCCCGCUGCCUCCGCAGCCCCUCAGCCGCAGUCUACCGUACCAAGAAGAGAUUCUAGCAGGAAGCGACAAUCAAUGCAAUGCUUGCUUGAAAGCAUAAAGUGAAGGUGGGGGAGAAGACGAAGACUUGGACCAAGUUCCUUCGCUCUUGGAUUGUGAAUGGACUGUGCUGAACUCUGCCUGGGGACCUCCCAUGCAUAAACCCUGCUGGGGAUGAACAGCUCCUGUGUCUCUGGCAUAGUAUCGGGGCACAGACCCCUCAUUUCAUGUCUCUUCUUCAAAUACGGACCUCUGCAGCCCAAACACUGCAGGCCCUUCGACUAAUACUGACCAUACCACAGUCCCUCCCCAAACUCUCCUUAGUAGUAUAUGGAAGUUCACUCACCAGACCAUUUCUGCUUCUAGUUUAACUCUUUGACAAAUACGUAGCUAUUAAAGCAAGCAGCCUUCAGCUGAGAAAACUUCUUUUAAGUAGCUCAGUUGAUUAUUUUUUUCUUUGUUAGACAGUAUCUCUUUUUAAAUGCAGUUUGCACAAGUUUCUUUCUUCUUACCUCUUCUGGAUUUUUGUGCAUUCACAAAAUCUUCCCAAUUAAUCAUUACACUGAUAGGAAUAAUCAGGAAAUCAAGUUUUUGGCUGUCAGCCUCAGAAGCCGCUCCAACAACUGCUCACUGCCCUCAUGUCAUUUCUAACUGAAAUAGAGUGUUACAGCAAACAUCAGAAUUCACUAAAUUGAAUGAAAUUAAUAAAUACAGGUAGUUAACAAACUUUUAUGGAGAUGCUUGCUUGACAUCUAAGGUAACUCUUAGAAGAAGUGGUCUAGCAUUUGAGAAAACCAAACCACUCUGGGAGGAAACCAAGCACAGAAAAUCUCAGACUAGCUAAAUGACAUACUGGGUGCUGUCAGCCAGAGAGGCAAACUCAUCUCCAUUGGAGUUUGAAGAUCUCACCCAGGAGCUGUGGCUUACUUGGUUUUUGUGACACGUUACUCAUGUGGAUUCCACAAACUACAUCCUUCUCUAUUCUUACAGUUAUGUAUCUUUAGUAAAGGAGGUAAAUAAUCAUUGCUGCCACCCACUGCUGCAUAGUCUUGGAAGAAGAGGGAUGAGGAGUACAGCUAAGGCAUUGGCACGGCCUCUAAAGACUCUGUUAGCUGAAAAUAAUCCGAUUUACAGGUAUUGCACCAAGAAAGAAACCUAGAUGACAAUGAAGUUCAGAGUCAAAUUUACUCUUUGUUAAAUAACCACUUUUUAUAAUAAUGUUCAUUGUUGGAGAAGUUACCAGCUGAAAAAUGAAGACCGGAGUGAAUGACACGAAUGGAGUUAAAAUAGCUAAAGCAACGUCCAAGGUGGUCCAUUCCAUAAUAACGUCACCCUGAAACAGAUUAUCAGGAAAGAUCAGAAUAUACAUCAAUACAGAUUUUUAGAAAGUUAGUUUAUUAAAAUCUCAUGUAAUGCAAUUAAAUAUAUUGUUUGGUAUAAAGUCUAUAUUAGAAAACACUGGAAAACCAUCUUCACCUAACACAGCUAAACAUACACAGAGAUGGUUGGGCGAAAAGAACUUUGGAAUUAAUGAAAGAAAGUUUGAGCAGAAAAUAACAAUGUACUUUUUAAAGGAAACACUUCCAUUAAUGAUGUAAAAUGAUAUGAUGUCAUACCUGUUUGUGUUCCUGAGCCAUCUGAAGCAGAAUAGUGUGAACACAGUGGAUGCUGUUACAUACAAUAACGUUACUUUCACAUUAAGCUUUUUAACUUUGUUUAUCUAGAUAUUUUGAACGAUUUAUCCUUCACUCUAGAACAGACACUACUCUUGUUGGAACUCAUGUCUUUACUUUGGGAAUAGCAGUAUUGUACCUGUUUUAUGAAAGAACAUAGAGUAAAAUGUCAUUUUUUUCCUUUAAUAUCUCAUAAAAUUAAAAUAUCUUUU